AUUGAACGCUGGCGGGGUGCCUAACACAUGCAAGUCGAGCGGCAGCGCGGGAGCAAUCCUGGCGGCGAGCGGCGGACGGGUGAGUAACGCUUGGGAAUCUGCCUAUUAGUGGGGGACAACCCGGGGAAACUCGGGCUAAUACCGCAUACGCACUACGGUGGAAAGCCGGGGACCGCAAGGCCUGGCGCUAACAGAUGAGCCCAAGUCGGAUUAGCUAGUUGGUAGGGUAACGGCCUACCAAGGCGACGAUCCGUAACUGGUCUGAGAGGACGACCAGUCACACCGGAACUGAGACACGGUCCGGACUCCUACGGGAGGCAGCAGUGGGGAAUAUUGGACAAUGGGGGAAACCCUGAUCCAGCGACGCCGCGUGGGUGAAGAAGGCCUGCGGGUUGUAAAGCCCUUUCAGUGGGGAAGAAAAGCCUCGACCUAACACGUCGGGGUCUUGACGUAACCCAUAGAAGAAGCACCGGCUAACUCUGUGCUAGCAGCAGCCGCCGUAAC
RNAcentral lists this ribosomal RNA (504 nucleotides) under uncultured bacterium. RNAcentral's name for it is "bacterial SSU rRNA". It matches the Rfam family "Bacterial small subunit ribosomal RNA", at positions 29 to 524 of the family's 1533-position model. The record is from RNAcentral.